RNAcentral lists this transfer RNA (72 nucleotides) under Wolfiporia cocos MD-104 SS10. RNAcentral describes it as "tRNA-Ala (TGC) (tRNA-Ala-TGC-2-1)". It matches the Rfam family "tRNA". From Rfam's summary of the family: Transfer RNA (tRNA) molecules are approximately 80 nucleotides in length. Their secondary structure includes four short double-helical elements and three loops (D, anti-codon, and T loops). The record is from RNAcentral. Lineage: Eukaryota; Fungi; Basidiomycota; Agaricomycetes; Polyporales; Phaeolaceae.
GGGCGUUUGGCACAGUGGUAGCGCGCAUGCUUUGCAUGCAUGAGGUCGAGGGUUCAAUCCCCCCAACGUCCA